CAAAGGCUGUGAGGAAGAGGCCUCCCUUGCUGGAGGACCACUGCACCUUAGGAGGAUGGUUAUGUGUCCGAACGGAGCUGGUCCCAGAGCUUUACCUGAUUGUACCGGCAGAUAAAUGACCAUAGGAGCCACUUGCCGCUGAACUGCUUCUGGAGUUGUUGAUAUACGCCACGAGAGAGUUUGGGGAGGUCCUGAUCAUCGUCUGGAGAUCAAUGCUGGCAUCAGACAGUGAGCUGGUUCAGCCAUUGGUUCCCAUUAAUUUGUGAAGAGAAGAAGUCCUGAUGUCUAACAGACACAUGGGUUUUAGCAUAACCAAAGUGGGCAUCCCUCCCUGCUGCACACAGAUGGAGACUGUUUUACCUUCAAUUUCUUCCCCUUGAAUACAAGUGAGAGAUGGGAAAACUUAUUCUCAACCAGGUCCAGAAAAAAGUGAUGGGCCAAAGCCUGCACAAUGAAACCAGACAACUCCAAGAGAGACUGUAUUGUUGCCUCCUCUGGUGUGCGAUAAUAUUUCCAGCCAAGUACUUAUACCGCAUGCCCAGGAUAGGUGAUGGCUCUUCCUGCACCAAUUUGCUCUGCAUCUACCUCUCAUCGUCAAUGAACACCUAUUAAAGCCAGCAGAUGCUUUCCAUUGAUUCCUUUGGCUUUGGUACAUGGAAUAAUUAGGAAUUUAAAAGCUGACCUACCAACACCCUUGUUUGGGAUAUCCUGAGUUUGAGAUAUCUCGACUUCAUUUUCAAACUAAUUCUUUCCUACUUGGAAAAGGUGCUACAUUUAUACGCUCAGCUUUUGGGCAUAGCAACAGCUUGGGUUUUAUUUAUUUGGAGUAUAUGAAGCAAAUUAGCACCAAAAGGAAGAAACAUAAUUUUCUUUUUGUUUUUGGAAAGGCUAAAGAUACCUUCUUAGAAAUCAAAACUAUUUCAGAUCUCAAGCAAUAACAAAAAUAUCCUUUGGGCUGAAUUAACACUCAGGAAAGCCUAAGGCAAAAGACUGUCCAAUCUCUCUUUGUGUUAGGAGGAGAUUAAAGUGGAAAUGUGAACUGGUGAAUGGAAAGGUGCAAUAAAGGUUAACCCAAAGCUCUGAGCAUGGUCAUAGUGUU
Melopsittacus undulatus (budgerigar) is the source of this 1099-nucleotide long non-coding RNA. RefSeq lists it as uncharacterized. The transcript has 3 exons. The record is from RefSeq and is a predicted model, not a curated record. Lineage: Eukaryota; Metazoa; Chordata; Aves; Psittaciformes; Psittaculidae.